GUGAAUCAUCAAAUCUUUGAACGCAAAUUGCACUCUCUGGUAUUCCGGAGAGUAUGCCUGUUUGAGGGUCAGUUUAAAUAAAAAUCGGUGUGUUUGCUGCCUGUCGUGGUGACGCACCGGAUUUGGGUCGUCUUGCCUUCGGUUAAGUGACCGAGAAUGUUGCAUGAUUAUUUUCGAACGUAUUUAAAUGGUUUGACUUACGUUGAGG
RNAcentral lists this unclassified non-coding RNA (208 nucleotides) under Glomus sp. Its description in RNAcentral is "partial contains 5.8S ribosomal RNA and internal transcribed spacer 2". The stretch from base 1 to 71 matches the Rfam family "5.8S ribosomal RNA", at positions 84 to 154 of the family's 154-position model. The record is from RNAcentral. Lineage: Eukaryota; Fungi; Glomeromycota; Glomeromycetes; Glomerales; Glomeraceae.